This 253-nucleotide ribosomal RNA is filed under the name uncultured bacterium. RNAcentral's name for it is "partial 16S ribosomal RNA". It matches the Rfam family "Bacterial small subunit ribosomal RNA", at positions 524 to 776 of the family's 1533-position model. The record is from RNAcentral.
UACGUAGGGUGCAAGCGUUGUCCGGAAUUAUUGGGCGUAAAGAGCUCGUAGGCGGUUCGUCGCGUCGGCUGUGAAAACCUGAGGCUCAACCUCAGGCCUGCAGUCGAUACGGGCGGACUUGAGUACUGCAGGGGAGACUGGAAUUCCUGGUGUAGCGGUGAAAUGCGCAGAUAUCAGGAGGAACACCGGUGGCGAAGGCAGCUCGCUGGGACGGUACUGACGCUGAGACGCGAAAGCGUGGGGAGCAAACAGG